Molecule: ribosomal RNA, 478 nt
Filed under: uncultured bacterium
Lineage: Bacteria
Description: partial 16S ribosomal RNA
Rfam family: Bacterial small subunit ribosomal RNA
Source: RNAcentral
GACGAACGCUGGCGGCGUGCUUAACACAUGCAAGUCGAACGGGAUUUAGUAAACGGAAGCCUCGGUGGAAGAUUACUAAUGAGAGUGGCGAACGGGUGAGUAACGCGUGAGCAACCUGCCUAUGACAGUGGGAUAGCCUCGGGAAACCGGGAUUAAUACCGCAUAAAAUCGUAGAAACACAUGUUUCAACGGUCAAAGAUUUAUCGGUCAUAGAUGGGCUCGCGUCUGAUUAGCUAGUUGGUGAGAUAACAGCCCACCAAGGCGACGAUCAGUAGCCGGUCUGAGAGGAUGAACGGCCACAUUGGAACUGAGACACGGUCCAAACUCCUACGGGAAGCAGCAGUGGGGAAUAUUGCACAAUGGGGGAAACCCUGAUGCAGCGACGCCGCGUGAACGAAGAAGGUAUUCGUAUCGUAAAGUUCUGUCCUAUGGGAAGAUAAUGACAGUACCAUAGAAGAAAGCUCCGGCUAAAUACGUG